GUGGGGAAUAUUGGACAAUGGGCGAAAGCCUGAUCCAGCCAUGCCGCGUGUGUGAAGAAGGUCUUCGGAUUGUAAAGCACUUUAAGUUGGGAGGAAGGGUAGUAACCUAAUACGUUGCUACUUUGACGUUACCGACAGAAUAAGCACCGGCUAACUUCGUGCCAGCAGCCGAGGUAAUACGAAGGGUGUAAGCGUUAAUCGGAAUUACUGGGCGUAAAGCGCGCGUAGGUGGUUCAGUAAGUUGGAGGUGAAAUCCCCGGGCUCAACCUGGGAACUGCCUCCAAAACUGCAUGACUAGAGUACGGUAGAGGGUAGUGGAAUUUCCUGUGUAGCGGUGAAAUGCGUAGAUAUAGGAAGGAACACCAGUGGCGAAGGCGACUACCUGGACUGAUACUGACACUGAGGUGCGAAAGCGUGGGGAGCAAACAGGAUUAGAAACCCUUGUAGUCC
Molecule: ribosomal RNA, 450 nt
Filed under: uncultured bacterium
Lineage: Bacteria
Description: partial 16S ribosomal RNA
Rfam family: Bacterial small subunit ribosomal RNA
Source: RNAcentral